Molecule: transfer RNA, 65 nt
Filed under: Dipodomys ordii (Ord's kangaroo rat)
Lineage: Eukaryota; Metazoa; Chordata; Mammalia; Rodentia; Heteromyidae
Rfam family: tRNA
About the family: Transfer RNA (tRNA) molecules are approximately 80 nucleotides in length. Their secondary structure includes four short double-helical elements and three loops (D, anti-codon, and T loops).
Source: Rfam by way of RNAcentral
GGUGGCUCAGCGGUAGAGCACUUGCCUUGCAUGCAUGAGGCCCUAGGUUCAAUUCCUCAGCACCA